GGUUAAGCGACUAAGCGUACACGGUGGAUGCCCUGGCAGUCAGAGGCGAUGAAGGACGUGCUAAUCUGCGAUAAGCGUCGGUAAGGUGAUAUGAACCGUUAUAACCGGCGAUUUCCGAAUGGGGAAACCCAGUGUGAUUCGUCACACUAUCAUUACGUGAAUACAUAGCGUAAUGAAGCGAACCGGGGGGAACUGAAACAUCUAAGUACCCCGAGGAAAAGAAAUCAACCGAGAUUCCCCCAGUAGCGGCGAGCGAACGGGGAGCAGCCCAGAGUCUGAAUCAGCUUGUGUGUUAGUGGAACGGUCUGGAAAGUCCGACGGUACAGGGUGAUAGUCCCGUACACCAAAAUGCACAGGUUGUGAACUCGAAGAGUAGGGCGGGACACGUGGUAUCCUGUCUGAAUAUGGGGGGGACCAUCCUCCAAGGCUAAAUACUCCUGACUGACCGAUAGUGAACCAGUACCGUGAGGGAAAGGCGAAAAGAACCCCGGCGAGGGGAGUGAAAAAGAACCUGAAACCGUGUACGUACAAGCAGUGGGAGCCUCUUUAUGGGGUGACUGCGUACCUUUUGUAUAAUGGGUCAGCGACUUAUAUUCUGUAGCAAGGUUAACCGUAUAGGGGAGCCGAAGGGAAACCGAGUCUUAACUGGGCGUUAAGUUGCAGGGUAUAGACCCGAAACCCGGUGAUCUAGCCAUGGGCAGGUUGAAGGUUGGGUAACACUAACUGGAGGACCGAACCGACUAAUGUUGAAAAAUUAGCGGAUGACUUGUGGCUGGGGGUGAAAGGCCAAUCAAACCGGGAGAUAGCUGGUUCUCCCCGAAAGCUAUUUAGGUAGCGCCUCGUGAAUUCAUCUUCGGGGGUAGAGCACUGUUUCGGCUAGGGGGUCAUCCCGACUUACCAACCCGAUGCAAACUGCGAAUACCGAAGAAUGUUAUCACGGGAGACACACGGCGGGUGCUAACGUCCGUCGUGAAGAGGGAAACAACCCAGACCGCCAGCUAAGGUCCCAAAGUCAUGGUUAAGUGGGAAACGAUGUGGGAAGGCACAGACAGCCAGGAUGUUGGCUUAGAAGCAGCCAUCAUUUAAAGAAAGCGUAAUAGCUCACUGGUCGAGUCGGCCUGCGCGGAAGAUGUAACGGGGCUAAACCAUGCACCGAAGCUGCGGCAGCGACACUAUGUGUUGUUGGGUAGGGGAGCGUUCUGUAAGCCGUUGAAGGUGGCCUGUGAGGGUUGCUGGAGGUAUCAGAAGUGCGAAUGCUGACAUAAGUAACGAUAAUGCGGGUGAAAAACCCGCACGCCGGAAGACCAAGGGUUCCUGUCCAACGUUAAUCGGGGCAGGGUGAGUCGACCCCUAAGGCGAGGCCGAAAGGCGUAGUCGAUGGGAAACAGGUUAAUAUUCCUGUACUUGGUGUUACUGCGAAGGGGGACGGAGAAGGCUAUGUUAGCCGGGCGACGGUUGUCCCGGUUUAAGCAUGUAGGCGGAGGUUCCAGAUAAAUCCGGUACCUUUUUAACGCUGAGGUGUGAUGACGAGGCACUACGGUGCUGAAGUAACAAAUGCCCUGCUUCCAGGAAAAGCCUCUAAGCAUCAGGUAACACGAAAUCGUACCCCAAACCGACACAGGUGGUCAGGUAGAGAAUACCAAGGCGCUUGAGAGAACUCGGGUGAAGGAACUAGGCAAAAUGGUGCCGUAACUUCGGGAGAAGGCACGCUGAUAUGUAGGUGAAGUGAUUUACUCAUGGAGCUGAAAUCAGUCGAAGAUACCAGCUGGCUGCAACUGUUUAUUAAAAACACAGCACUGUGCAAACACGAAAGUGGACGUAUACGGUGUGACGCCUGCCCGGUGCCGGAAGGUUAAUUGAUGGGGUUAUCCGUAAGGAGAAGCUCUUGAUCGAAGCCCCGGUAAACGGCGGCCGUAACUAUAACGGUCCUAAGGUAGCGAAAUUCCUUGUCGGGUAAGUUCCGACCUGCACGAAUGGCGUAAUGAUGGCCGGGCUGUCUCCACCCGAGACUCAGUGAAAUUGAACUCGCUGUGAAGAUGCAGUGUACCCGCGGCAAGACGGAAAGACCCCGUGAACCUUUACUAUAGCUUGACACUGAACACUGGUCCUUGAUGUGUAGGAUAGGUGGGAGGCUUUGAAGUGUGGACGCCAGUCUGCAUGGAGCCAUCCUUGAAAUACCACCCUUUAAUGGCUGGUGUUCUAACGUGGACCCGUUACCCGGGUUGCGGACAGUGUCUGGUGGGUAGUUUGACUGGGGCGGUCUCCUCCUAAAGAGUAACGGAGGAGCACGAAGGUUAGCUAAUCCUGGUCGGACAUCAGGAGGUUAGUGCAAAGGCAUAAGCUAGCUUGACUGCGAGAGUGACGGCUCGAGCAGGUGCGAAAGCAGGUCUUAGUGAUCCGGUGGUUCUGAAUGGAAGGGCCAUCGCUCAACGGAUAAAAGGUACUCCGGGGAUAACAGGCUGAUACCGCCCAAGAGUUCAUAUCGACGGCGGUGUUUGGCACCUCGAUGUCGGCUCAUCACAUCCUGGGGCUGAAGUAGGUCCCAAGGGUAUGGCUGUUCGCCAUUUAAAGUGGUACGCGAGCUGGGUUUAGAACGUCGUGAGACAGUUCGGUCCCUAUCUGCCGUGGGCGCUGGAGAAUUGAGGGGGGCUGCUCCUAGUACGAGAGGACCGGAGUGGACGCAUCACUGGUGUUCGGGUUGUCAUGCCAAUGGCAUUGCCCGGUAGCUAAAUGCGGAAGAGAUAAGUGCUGAAAGCAUCUAAGCACGAAACUUGCCCCGAGAUGAGUUCUCCCUGAGACUAUAAGUCUCCUGAAGGAACGUUAAAGACGAUGACGUUGAUAGGUCGGGUGUGUAAGUGUAGCGAUACAUUGAGCUAACCGAUACUAAUGAACCGUGAGGCUUAACCUU
This 2908-nucleotide ribosomal RNA is filed under the name Citrobacter freundii. RNAcentral's name for it is "23S ribosomal RNA". It matches the Rfam family "Bacterial large subunit ribosomal RNA". The record is from RNAcentral. Lineage: Bacteria; Pseudomonadati; Pseudomonadota; Gammaproteobacteria; Enterobacterales; Enterobacteriaceae.